This is a non-coding RNA of Streptococcus sp. HSISB1, 58 nucleotides long. NCBI's taxonomy places the organism in Bacteria, Bacillati, Bacillota, Bacilli, Lactobacillales, Streptococcaceae. The record is from Rfam.
AUUUGUCGUCUGCUUUAGUUGAAAUAUUGUCCAACUAAGGUUUGCAGCAGUUAAAUCA